Molecule: microRNA precursor, 76 nt
Filed under: Bursaphelenchus xylophilus (pine wood nematode)
Lineage: Eukaryota; Metazoa; Nematoda; Chromadorea; Rhabditida; Aphelenchoididae
Description: let-7 microRNA precursor family
Rfam family: let-7 microRNA precursor family
About the family: This family represents the microRNAs (miRNA) let-7 and mir-98. let-7 was identified from a study of developmental timing in C. elegans, and was later shown to be part of a much larger class of non-coding RNAs termed miRNAs. The extents of the hairpin precursors are not generally known and are estimated based on hairpin prediction.
Source: Rfam by way of RNAcentral
CGGUGUUGAGGUAGUAGGUUGUAUAGUUCGCGUAUUAUCAUUGGAGGUAACUGUGCAAUCUGCUAGCUUACCAUUU